GGGGAAUAUUGGACAAUGGGGGUAACCCUGAUCCAGCAAUGCCGCGUGUGUGAAGAAGGCCUGCGGGUUGUAAAGCACUUUCAAUCGGGAAGAAAAGGGGUUUGUUAAUAGCGGACCUCCUUUACGUUACUGAUACAAGAAGCACCGGCUAACUCCGUGCCAGCAGCCGCGGUAAUACGGAGGGUGCAAGCGUUAAUCGGAAUUACUGGGCGUAAAGCGCACGUAGGCGGUAAGUUAAGUCAGAUGUGAAAGCCCCGGGCUCAACCUGGGAACUGCAUUUGAAACUGGCUUGCUAGAGUUUGGUAGAGGAAAGUGGAAUUCCGGGUGUAGCGGUGAAAUGCGUAGAUAUCCGGAGGAACACCAGUGGCGAAGGCGACUUUCUGGACCAAAACUGACGCUGAGGUGCGAAAGCGUGGGUAGCAAAC
This 425-nucleotide ribosomal RNA is filed under the name uncultured bacterium. RNAcentral describes it as "bacterial SSU rRNA". It matches the Rfam family "Bacterial small subunit ribosomal RNA", at positions 356 to 773 of the family's 1533-position model. The record is from RNAcentral.